GUGUAUUCUCAGCUUUGAGAACUGAAUUCCAUGGGUUGUAAUUGAAUUCGCUGUCAGACCCAUGGGGCUCAGUUCUUCAGCUUGGAUAUUUCUG
Columba livia (rock pigeon) is the source of this 94-nucleotide non-coding RNA. The record is from Rfam. NCBI's taxonomy places the organism in Eukaryota, Metazoa, Chordata, Aves, Columbiformes, Columbidae.